This 393-nucleotide ribosomal RNA is filed under the name uncultured bacterium. RNAcentral describes it as "partial 16S ribosomal RNA". It matches the Rfam family "Bacterial small subunit ribosomal RNA", at positions 523 to 918 of the family's 1533-position model. The record is from RNAcentral.
AUACGGAGGAUGCGAGCGUUAUCCGGAUUUAUUGGGUUUAAAGGGAGCGUAGGUGGGAUAUUAAGUCAGCUGUGAAAGUUUGGGGCUCAACCUUAAAAUUGCAGUUGAUACUGGUUUCCUUGAGUACGGUACAGGUGGGCGGAAUUCGUGGUGUAGCGGUGAAAUGCUUAGAUAUCACGAAGAACUCCGAUCGCGAAGGCAGCUCACCGGGCCGGAACUGACACUGAUGCUCGAAAGUGCGGGUAUCAAACAGGAUUAGAUACCCUGGUAGUCCGCACAGUAAACGAUGAAUACUCGCUGUUUGCGAUACACGGUAAGCGGCCAAGCGAAAGCGUUAAGUAUUCCACCUGGGGAGCACGCCGGCAACGGUGAAACUCAAAUGAAUUGACGGGG